Non-coding RNA from Pelobates cultripes (western spadefoot toad), 1175 nucleotides. Lineage: Eukaryota; Metazoa; Chordata; Amphibia; Anura; Pelobatidae. The record is from the annotation of a GenBank genome assembly.
UGGUGACUUAUAUACAGGUAUGAUGCAUCAAUGCCAUCAAUUUCAGCACUGACCCCUCUGGACAGCUCCCUGAAUCCCAAUUCUGGUACCUCGGUGAGAGCGAACCCUAGUGGCAGGAACAUAAAUUACAUCUGAGUAAGGACUGUGUUUAGUGAGGAGCUGUGAUAGGUUUAACCAGUCCUCCCCCAGCCCUGGGAAAAGGCAGAGUUUGCAGUAAGAAAUGCCAGUCUGUGUCUGUGGCAUGGUUUGUUCAUUGUGACAUUGUGUCUGUGAAGAAAGGCUCUCCAAGGGUUAAUCAGCAAACCAUCCAACCAGCUGUACGCAUUGCACACUGUAAGUAGAACUUCUGUACUCUGUGCUGUACAAUCUGCAUUCCAUACUGUGUACAAUGACAGCUUUAUUUGUAACUAUUUUAUCUGUUGUUUGAUAUAGUGUCUUUCUGUUAUGUAAUUGUAUGUAGAACAUGUUAAGCAGUGUGUAUGUUAUUAUUAUUGUUAAUAAUGGCAUUGAUCAUAGUGAGAGGGAAUUGUUUAAAAUGUUUAUGUAAUGAAUACUGUUUGAUGAUAAUCUGCUCACAUUUAUUUAACACUGGGAUAACCUGUAUCUCUGUCUGCCAGUGAGUCUGGGCGUUAUACAGGUAAAUAUCCCUUGAAAUGUAACAGGUUUUAUACAGGGUCUGAAUACCUACUGCAAAUGACUUACCUUGCUACCUUGGCUGCUUUCACAAUCAGUCACUUUACAUUCUCCAAACUCAUAUCCAAUAUUCUGUCCAAUCCAGAAAGGUCACUAAAUGAUUUAUUUCAAUCAUUUGCAUGGAAUCAGUGGGGGCGACCUGAGUCUAUUGAUUACCAUAAAUAGAUUGCAUCUUGUUCGAGCAGCCCGCCUGUACAAUACAAGCAUACAAUAUAAUAAUUAUUGUCAAGUGCAUGGACAUGGGUCAGGCUUGCCACCGUUAAUUGGCGAGCAUUACUGAUGAAUAAUAAGAUCUGUCUUGGAUAACAUGAAUGAAUUAGGCAUUUAAGAAGAUGUCCCAGGGAGACGAGAGAUUGUUAUCUGUUAAGUCCCUAAAGUGACAGAUAUUCUGUUCCUCGAAUCCAGGGACAUGAGUUGUGAAACUAUUCCCAUUAUCUUUUCUAGACCUCUGAGGAAAUGUAUCAAGUCCUCCAACAUUUCAC